GAUUAGAAAGCGAAUAUUUGCAUUUAGUUUCGACCUAACCCUUAGGCUUCCUGCCUUCUAAUUU
This 64-nucleotide transfer RNA is filed under the name Xeruca formosensis. Its description in RNAcentral is "tRNA-Arg". The record is from RNAcentral. Lineage: Eukaryota; Metazoa; Arthropoda; Malacostraca; Decapoda; Ocypodidae.